This 529-nucleotide ribosomal RNA is filed under the name uncultured bacterium. RNAcentral describes it as "partial 16S ribosomal RNA". It matches the Rfam family "Bacterial small subunit ribosomal RNA", at positions 355 to 873 of the family's 1533-position model. The record is from RNAcentral.
UGGGGAAUAUUGCACAAUGGGCGCAAGCCUGAUGCAGCCAUGCCGCGUGUGUGAAGAAGGCCUUCGGGUUGUAAAGCACUUUCAGCGAGGAGGAAGGUGGUGAGCUUAAUACGCUCACCAAUUGACGUUACUCGCAGAAGAAGCACCGGCUAACUCCGUGCCAGCAGCCGCGGUAAUACGGAGGGUGCAAGCGUUAAUCGGAAUUACUGGGCGUAAAGCGCACGCAGGCGGUUUGUUAAGUCAGAUGUGAAAUCCCCGGGCUCAACCUGGGAACUGCAUUUGAAACUGGCAAGCUAGAGUCUCGUAGAGGGGGGUAGAAUUCCAGGUGUAGCGGUGAAAUGCGUAGAGAUCUGGAGGAAUACCGGUGGCGAAGGCGGCCCCCCUGGACGAAGACUGACGCUCAGGUGCGAAAGCGUGGGGCAGCAAACAGGAUUAGAUACCCUGGUAGUCCACGCUGUAAACGAUGUCGAUUUGGAGGUUGUGCCCCUUGAGGCGUGGCUUCCGGAGCUAACGCGUUAAAUCGACCGCC